This 460-nucleotide ribosomal RNA is filed under the name uncultured bacterium. RNAcentral describes it as "partial 16S ribosomal RNA". It matches the Rfam family "Bacterial small subunit ribosomal RNA", at positions 338 to 795 of the family's 1533-position model. The record is from RNAcentral.
CCUACGGGUGGCUGCAGUGAGGAAUAUUGGUCAAUGGGCGGAAGCCUGAACCAGCCAAGUAGCGUGCAGGAUGACGGCCCUACGGGUUGUAAACUGCUUUUAUACGGGAAUAACGCGCCUUACGUGUAGGGCUUUGCAUGUACCGUAUGAAUAAGGACCGGCUAAUUCCGUGCCAGCAGCCGCGGUAAUACGGAAGGUCCGGGCGUUAUCCGGAAUCAUUGGGCGUAAAGAGUUCGUAGGUGGCAUAUUAAGUCUGGUGUUAAAUGCAGAAGCUCAACUUCUGUUCGGCACUGGAUACUGGUAAGCUUGAAUGCGGUAGAGGUAAAGGGAAUUCCUGGUGUAGCGGUGAAAUGCGUAGAUAUCAGGAGGAACAUCGGUGGCGUAAGCGCUUUACUGGGCCGUAAUUGACACUGAGGAACGAAAGCCGGGGUAGCAAAUGGGAUUAGAUACCCCUGUAGUC